AAAAGGGGGGGAAAGAAAGAAAGAGAAAAAGGAGGGCGAGUGGCGAGCAGGGGCCUCGGCCGCCACCCACACGCCCCGAAGCGUGCUCGUCCCCCGCGCGGGGCUCCCGGCCGCCGCCCUCGGCCAUCGGCUGCUCCCCGGUGGCCCAGGCCUCGGACUCCGCGGCCGGCCCGGCGCGGCCCAGCGCCCUCAGGUGUAUACCAAGGACUGGAAUUGAUGGGCCAAGCUUUGUGUUUUAAGGAAAAAAAAAUCAUGUUUUAGUUUCGUGCUGGUAAUUUGAAGUAAGCAGAUGUCUAGAUAUAAGCUUGGAAACUGGCCAGUUGGAGAUUGCUCACGGCUGCAAUUGAAGACUCCAGCAGCCUCUUCUCCUCUUUGCUUCCAUUUGGAGAGGAAGGCGUCAUAGGCUGUGUGACUUCCGUGGACGCGGGGCUUGGCACCGGCUUGCAGUUGGGAUCAAUCUUCAGUGGCGGUUUGGAGUGGGUCACGGUUCUUCCUGCUUGCCUUCCAGUUUAGUCCCUGACGUCUGCUCCCCAGGGCCCUGGCUCUUCCCCCACGCCUUCAGCCUGCACAGUCCCUUCUCUCAUUCUCAGGCUGCAGAACCUGGAAGUACAGUUGUCCCCCCUUACCCGCUGUUUCAGUUACCUGAGGUCAACCGUGGUCUGAAAAUACUACAUGGAAAAUUCCGGAAAUAAACAAUUCGUAAGUUUUAAAUUGCACGCUGUGAUGAAAUCUCGCGCUGUGCAGCCUGGGCAGUGAAUCGUCCCCUUUGUUCAGCGUCCCCACGCUGUGGACGCUCCACACCCAUAGUCACUUAGUAGCUGG
This 822-nucleotide long non-coding RNA is filed under the name Homo sapiens (human). RNAcentral's name for it is "non-protein coding lnc-GTF2IRD2B-3:1". The record is from RNAcentral. Lineage: Eukaryota; Metazoa; Chordata; Mammalia; Primates; Hominidae.